RNAcentral lists this ribosomal RNA (446 nucleotides) under uncultured bacterium. RNAcentral's name for it is "partial 16S ribosomal RNA". It matches the Rfam family "Bacterial small subunit ribosomal RNA", at positions 61 to 795 of the family's 1533-position model. The record is from RNAcentral.
CCUCCUUUCUUCCUCCUUCUUGCCUUUUCGGCCAUGGGGGGACCCCUGCCCGAGCAAUGCCGCGUGAACGAAGAAGUUAUUCGUAAUGUAAAGUUCUUUUAACAGGGAACAAAGAGAAAUUUGACGGUACCUGAAGAAUAAGCUCCGGCUAACUACGUGCCAGCAGCCGCGGUAAUACGUAGGGAGCGAGCGUUAUCCGGAAUUAUUGGGCGUAAAGGGUGCGUAGAGGGCAUAGUAAGUCUUUUGUAAAAAUGCUGGGCUCAACCCAGUAGGGCAAAAGAUACUGGAAAGCUAGAGUAUGACAGAGGCAAGUGGAACUACAUGUGUAGCGGUAAAAUGCGUAAAUAUAUGUAAGAACACCAGUGGCGAAGGCGGCUUGCUGGGUCGAUACUGACAUUGAGGCACGAAAGCGUGGGGAGCAAACAGGAUUAGAUACCCCUGUAGUC